CUGAGAUGUGACUUUGCCUUCUACCAUGAUUAUGAGGCUUUCCCAGCCACGUGGAACUGUAAUGGAUUAGGAAUUAGAAUUGUGGGUGGUAAAGAAAUCCCGGGACAUAGUGGAGAAAUUGGAGCCUAUAUUGCCAAGAUUCUUCCUGGGGGAAGUGCAGAACAGACGGGGAAGCUUAUGGAAGGGAUGCAAGUAUUGGAAUGGAAUGGAAUUCCCUUGACUUCUAAAACAUAUGAAGAAGUUCAGAGUAUCAUUAGUCAACAAAGUGGGGAAGCAGAAAUAUGUGGACCUGAAUAUGCUAUCAGAUUCUGAAAAUUCCCAGCAUCUGGAACUUCAUGAGCCACCAAAAGCUGUGGAUAAGGCGAAAUCCCCAGGGGUUGAUCCUAAGCAGUUGGCAGCAGAACUCCAGAAGGUUUCACUACAGCAGUCACCGCUGGUUCUGUCAUCAGUUGUUGAAAAAGGAUCUCAUGUUCAUUCAGGUCCUACAUCAGCAGGAUCCAGUUCCGUUCCCAGCCCUGGGCAACCAGGGUCCCCCUCAGUGAGCAAAAAGAAGCACAGCAGCAGCAAGCCUACUGAUGGAACAAAGGUUGUCUCUCAUCCAAUUACGGGAGAAAUUCAGCUUCAAAUUAACUAUGAUCUUGGAAAUCUGAUAAUACAUAUUCUCCAAGCAAGAAAUCUUGUUCCUCGAGACAACAAUGGUUAUUCUGACCCUUUUGUGAAAGUGUACCUUCUUCCAGGGAGAGGUGCUGAGUACAAGAGAAGGACUAAAUAUGUCCAGAAAAGUCUUAAUCCUGAGUGGAAUCAAACAGUAAUUUAUAAAAGUAUUUCCAUGGAACAGCUCAAGAAGAAAACACUGGAGGUGACAGUUUGGGAUUAUGAUAGAUUUUCAUCCAACGACUUCCUUGGGGAGGUAUUGAUUGAUUUAUCUAGCACAUCUCACCUCGAUAACACUCCAAGGUGGUACUCUCUCAAAGAACAGACUGAAAGCAUUGAUCAUGGCAAGUCUUAUUCCAGUCAGAGCAGCCAGCAGUCCCCAAAGCCAUCUGUUAUCAAAAGCAGAAGCCAUGGUAUCUUCCCUGACCCAUCAAAGGACAUGCAGGUUCCCACCAUUGAGAAAUCCCAUAGUAGUCCUGGUAGCUCAAAAUCAUCAUCAGAAGGCCAUCUCCGUUCUCAUGGACCAUCUCGCAGUCAAAGCAAAACCAGCGUCACUCAGACCCACCUGGAAGAUGCAGGGGCUGCCAUAGCUGCUGCCGAAGCUGCCGUGCAACAACUCCGCAUUCAACCAAGUAAAAGACGCAAAUAAAUUCCUCAGCAUGGCAGCUUAAUGUUCAUCUGUUGCCUUUCUUUCCUGCUGUCCUUUCCUGUUUGCUUUCAGUUUUCAGCAUCCUCUGCUCACCCUGUUCUCUGUCCCUUUGUGUAAGAACGAUAUCAAUACAUUAAUAUGCUCUUUCUUAUUUUGAUUUUUUUUAUUUACAUCGACUGAAAUAAAACUGGCUGUUUCUCCUUUGUUUCCACCAUCCAUCCAACCUGGCUCAUAGCAUUUGAUACAGUGUCUGUGAUGUUUGGAAGCAAAGCAAUGUUGUGUGUCCUUUUUGUUUGCGCUUAAAUAUCUUUUAGAAUACAGAAAUUAUAAGCACAAGUGGCUGCCAGUUUUCCAGGCCUUAUACCAAAAAAAAAACAA
This 1681-nucleotide small RNA is filed under the name Pongo abelii (Sumatran orangutan). RNAcentral's name for it is "processed transcript". The record is from RNAcentral. Lineage: Eukaryota; Metazoa; Chordata; Mammalia; Primates; Hominidae.